Molecule: transfer RNA, 74 nt
Filed under: Teratoscincus roborowskii
Lineage: Eukaryota; Metazoa; Chordata; Lepidosauria; Squamata; Sphaerodactylidae
Also listed under: 1 other name
Description: tRNA-Ser
Rfam family: tRNA
About the family: Transfer RNA (tRNA) molecules are approximately 80 nucleotides in length. Their secondary structure includes four short double-helical elements and three loops (D, anti-codon, and T loops).
Source: RNAcentral
GAGAGGCAAGCACUGGUUUGGCGUGCAGCUAGUUUGAACCUAGUAGGAGGGGGGUUCGAUUCCUUCGUCUCUUG